This 1043-nucleotide long non-coding RNA is filed under the name Anser brachyrhynchus (Pink-footed goose). RNAcentral describes it as "lncRNA (ENSABRG00000005943.1)". The record is from RNAcentral. Lineage: Eukaryota; Metazoa; Chordata; Aves; Anseriformes; Anatidae.
CCCUGAACUGUGUAUAAAGACUCCUUCAAAAGCUCUUUCAGCUAGUAAUGUUCCCCUGCCAAAAGAUUAAAAAGUGACAGGACUGUGAAACAUCUAAAAACACUAUGGAAACCUCUCUUAGUUGUAUCAUUUCUAGCUGUCUGACAACAUUUAUAACAUCCUUUGCUCUUUAACAGGUUUAUAGGGUAGCUGUCUGAGUGCCGUUUACAUAUCCAUGUAAUAUGUGCUUCCAUUUUAGCCCAUUGACAGUUUGGCUCAUGAAAUUGAUUCCUUCUUUGUGGAAUUGACUGAUAAAUUUUCCUAACAAUGAGCAGCAGACAGAGCCUGGAGUGAUGGGCAAGAGCCUCAUCCCAUGGUACCCAAACGGAGCAGAGCAGGUAUGCAAAUGGUAACCAGGGCAGCCAAAGUUCCUGACUGCCAGACAAGUCCAUGGUGAUGCACUUGGUCUGAAGCCAAGCUGGGAAGGCAAGUCCGUGGGUCAACUUUCUCACAUGGAUUUUUCCCAGCAGCUUGACCCAAGGUUAUACCCGCACUGUGCUAGAGCUGGUCAUGAGCACCUGUAGCCAAAGCCUUGGAGGAGGGAAGAGGCUGCAAAGCAUGUUGGUGUACUCAGGAGGCUGAAGCUGAGCAGGAAUAGGUCAGGGAUGAAUGGAAGGCCAAGACCACUGGAAAAUUCACAGUGUCUCUAUGUUUUUAUUUGUCUGAAGAUAAUUAGCCUCAGUUGGUCAAUUCAGUCUGUAGUUUAAAAAUAGCCUUGCCUUCUUCUGCCAUGUUAAGUUAUAUAGGUGCCAACAUCAAACUUGUCCUUCAGACAAACUGGCUUCCUGUGGCAUUUUUCAUCAGUUUCAAUAGUUCACCAAGAUACUUGGUGACUCAGGCCAAGGAUAGCUAAAAGAUGUCCUAAAUCUCUAGGUUGAUGAUUUGCUUCUCUGCACAAUGCAACACUCACGAACUUUUCCUGGCAAAGUCUGAGGAUUUGGAAAGAAGUCAUUGGGGAACUAAGGAUCAUUACAAAUCUCAGCAUAUUUUGUUCUUUUAAACCA